This 84-nucleotide transfer RNA is filed under the name Taibaiella sp. Its description in RNAcentral is "tRNA-Leu". RNAcentral also lists the same sequence under 4 other names. The record is from RNAcentral. Lineage: Bacteria; Pseudomonadati; Bacteroidota; Chitinophagia; Chitinophagales; Chitinophagaceae.
GCGGCGGUGUUGAAACUGGUAGACAAGCAACGUUGAGGUCGUUGUGCUCGCAAGGGCGUGGGAGUUCGAAUCUCCUCUGCCGCA